GGGUCAGUAGGUUGGUCGUGCCACCGGUACGUACUGGUCUCACUGAUUCCUCCUUCCUGAAGAACCGUAAUGCCAUUAAUUUGGUGUUGCGGGGAAACAGGACUGUUACUCUGAAAAAAUUAGAGUGUUUAAAGCAAGCUAACGCUCGAAUACAUUAGCAUGGAAUAAUGAAAUAGGACGAUCGAUCCUAUUUUGUUGGUUUCUAGGAUUGACGUA
This 216-nucleotide ribosomal RNA is filed under the name Glomeromycotina sp. RNAcentral's name for it is "partial small subunit ribosomal RNA". The stretch from base 44 to 216 matches the Rfam family "Eukaryotic small subunit ribosomal RNA", at positions 690 to 864 of the family's 1831-position model. Lineage: Eukaryota; Fungi; Glomeromycota. The record is from RNAcentral.